This 301-nucleotide ribosomal RNA is filed under the name uncultured bacterium. RNAcentral describes it as "partial 16S ribosomal RNA". It matches the Rfam family "Bacterial small subunit ribosomal RNA", at positions 509 to 807 of the family's 1533-position model. The record is from RNAcentral.
CAGUAGCCGCGGUAAUACGUAGGGUGCAAGCGUUAAUCGGAAUUACUGGGCGUAAAGCGUGCGCAGGCGGUUAUAUAAGACAGAUGUAAAAUCCCCGGGCUCAACCUGGGAACUGCAUUUGUGACUGUAUAGCUAGAGUACGGCAGAGGGGGAUGGAAUUCCGCGUGUAGCAGUGAAAUGCGUAGAUAUGCGGAGGAACACCGAUGGCGAAGGCAAUCCCCUGGGCCUGUACUGACGCUCAUGCACGAAAGCGUGGGGAGCAAACAGGAUUAGAUACCCGGGUAGUCCCUGUCUCUUAUAC